CGGAUAUUCUUUUUUACAUGGAUAACUGUGGUAAUUCUAGAGCUAAUACAUGAACAAGUGUUCCAACCUCAGCUUGCUGACGGAAGGAUCGCAUUUAUUAGUACAAGACCAAUGAUUCUUAUUCACCUAGAACCCUGUUCAGUGAUUUCGGUCGCUGUCUAAGGACUAGCAGUGGGGAUCUUAGCAAUUUCGAUUGCAUUUCUUGUGAUGACUCUGAAUAACUGAGCAAAUCGUAUGGCCUCUGAGCCGACGAUGUAUCCCUCAAGCAACUGCCUUAUCAACUGUCGAUGGUAGGUUAUGCGCCUACCAUGGUUGUAACGGGUAACGGGGAAUUAGGGUUCGAUUCCGGAGAGGGAGCCUGAGAAACGGCUACCACAUCUAAGGAAGGCAGCAGGCGCGCAAAUUACACAAUCCCAGUACGGGGAUGUAGUGACGAAAAAUAACAAUACGGGACUCUAUUGAGGCCCCGUAAUUGGAAUGAGUACAAUUUAAAUCCUUUAACGAGGAUCUAUUGGAGGGCAAGUCUGGUGCCAGCAGCCGCGGUAAUUCCAGCUCCAAUAGCGUAUAUUAAAGUUGCUGCGGUUAAAAAGCUCGUAGUUGGAUUUCAGUCGAACCUAUGGGGUCCACUGAUUAAAGGGUUAGAUGGUGAUGUUAGGUUUCUUGCUUGUGUCUAAGGAUGCUAGCUUGAACCUUCAUUCCUCUUUCCUGGUGGUUACAUUCAUAGUGUUUAGACAGAAAAUUGCUCGAUAUUUGCUAUCAAUGCUCUUUACCGAGUGUUGAUUCAAGCGAUCGAGACUUUUACCUUGAAAAAAUCAGAGUGCUCAAAGCAGGCGUCCAAAACCUCGAAAGAGGUGCCUAAAAACGGUAUGGUCAACCAUCUAUAUGAUGCGUACCACUACCUUAACUUGAAUGAUCUUGCAUGGAAUAAUGGAAUAGGACCUUGGUUCUAUUUUGUUGGUCUUAAGAAUCCAAGGUAAUGAUUAAGAGGGACAGACGGGGGCAUUUGUAUUGCGGCGCUAGAGGUGAAAUUCUUGGACCGUCGCAAGACAAACUACAGCGAAAGCAUUUGCCAAGAAUGUUUUCAUUAAUCAAGAACGAAAGUUAGAGGUUCGAAGGCGAUCAGAUACCGCCCUAGUUCUAACCAUAAACGAUGCCAACCAGCGAUCAUUCUGAGUAACUAAUUUCAUGACUCGAAUGGAAGCUUCCGGGAAACCAAAGUUUUUGGGUUCCGGGGGAAGUAUGGUUGCAAAGCUGAAACUUAAAGGAAUUGACGGAAGGGCACCACCAGGAGUGGAGCUUGCGGCUUAAUUUGACUCAACACGGGAAAACUCACCCGGCCCGGACACUGAGAGGAUUGACAGAUUGAGAGCUCUUUCUUGAUUCAGUGGGUGGUGGUGCAUGGCCGUUCUUAGUUGGUGGAGUGAUUUGUCUGGUUAAUUCCGAUAACGAACGAGACUCUAGCCUACUAAAUAGACUUGCAGUUUACACUGCAGUACUCCCCCUUAGUCAACCUGUAGGUGGUAGUAUAUCUUGAUGGUUUCGGCUGUUGAGGGCUCUGCUACUAUUAGCCUGCAGAAUUGGCUAGGGUAAGGAUGCUGUAGCACUGUAAGGACUUCUUAGAGGGACAAGCGGCGCUCGCAGCCGCACGAAACAGAGCAAUAACAGGUCUGUGAUGCCCUUAGAUGUCCGGGGCCGCACGCGUGCUACACUGAAGUGGUCAUCGUGCAUACUGUUUCCUGCUCCGAAAGGAGUGGGUAACCGCUUGAACCCAUUUCGUGAUGGGGAUUGGGCAUUGUAAUUAUUGCCCAUGAACGAGGAAUUCCCAGUAAGCGUGAGUCAUUAGCUUGCGUUGAUUACG
Molecule: ribosomal RNA, 1858 nt
Filed under: Tetranychus piercei
Lineage: Eukaryota; Metazoa; Arthropoda; Arachnida; Trombidiformes; Tetranychidae
Description: SSU rRNA
Rfam family: Eukaryotic small subunit ribosomal RNA
Source: RNAcentral